Molecule: ribosomal RNA, 406 nt
Filed under: uncultured bacterium
Lineage: Bacteria
Description: partial 16S ribosomal RNA
Rfam family: Bacterial small subunit ribosomal RNA
Source: RNAcentral
AUUGAACGCUGGCGGCAGGCUUAACACAUGCAAGUCGAGCGAGCGGCGGACGGGUGAGUAAUGUCUGGGAAACUGCCUGAUGGAGGGGGAUAACUACUGGAAACGGUAGCUAAUACCGCCUACCAUCGGAUGUGCCCAGAUGGGAUUAGCUAGUAGGUGGGGUAAGGGCUCACCUAGGCGACGACCCCUAGCUGGUCUGAGAGGAUGACCGGCAAAACUGGACCUGAGACACGGUCCAGACUCCGACGGGAGGCAGAAGUGGGGAAUAUUGCAAAAUGGGCGCAAGCCUGAUGCAGCAAGGCCGCGUGUGUGAAGAAGGCCUUCGGGUUGUAAAGUACUUUCAGCGAGGAGGCGUUACUCGCAGAAGAAGCACCGGCUAACUCCGUGCCAGCAGCCGCGGUAAUAC